GACAGUGGUAUAUGACUGUCUCCCAAUAUCUAUUGUAUCCCUUAGUAUUAGAAACAUUUUAAAGUGGGCACAUGUCUAACCAGAAUGAAGACUAAAUCCCCCAGCUUCCCCUGAAGCUACAUGUGACCGCGCGGCUAAUUUCUAGCCAAGAGGACAGAGAAAGGAGAGAAACACUGGCAGUCUAUGUUUCCUGAUAGAGGCCAUGUGGGCAGGCAGCACGGAGCGAUCACAAACCUGCCCACCAUGAAAGUGCAACUUUUACAGGAAUGCAUGUUCCAGGGCCCGCUAGGCAACGCAGCAUUGCUACAGAAAGAAAAACAUAAGGCAUACUUGCGCACAGGAACUUCGGGCCGAGCUCGCAACUCCUGGUCAUGCGAUUGGUCCGGGGCAGGCAUGUGACUAUCACCUGGCCAAUCCAAAGAGCCUGCAUUUUCACAUGCCACACCAGGUGGUCAGGCAGGUAGGUGUGCACCUGGGACUGCUCAUGGCCCCUCCUACCAGCCCAUAAUCAGAGUGUGCCCACAGCUGGGGAAAGGCUUGUCAGGCUUUAAGAAAUACAGAAGCAUCUUGAAAUAUUUGUGACAUCAAAUAAAAG
Long non-coding RNA from Hyaena hyaena (striped hyena), 595 nucleotides. RefSeq lists it as uncharacterized. The transcript is spliced from 4 exons. The record is from RefSeq and is a predicted model, not a curated record. NCBI's taxonomy places the organism in Eukaryota, Metazoa, Chordata, Mammalia, Carnivora, Hyaenidae.